Molecule: ribosomal RNA, 276 nt
Filed under: Triticum aestivum (bread wheat)
Lineage: Eukaryota; Viridiplantae; Streptophyta; Magnoliopsida; Poales; Poaceae
Description: partial small subunit ribosomal RNA
Source: RNAcentral
AUGGCGUCGGGAUCAAGCUCGCAGGGGCGGCAUGGCAAGGAGACGAUGGAGGAGCUGCUAGCCAGGUUGAAUUUGCAGGAGGAGGAAGAUGAUGAUUUCGUGUGGAAGGAGGAGUUGCCGGAUCUGGGGGCGCUGGCGAAGUGGCUAGCCAUAGCCAGGGUACACACUACAAGGACUUUCAGCCCUAAUGCUCUUUAUGGGGACAUGCGUGCAGCCUGGAAUCCAGCGAAAAUGGUGGUCUGGAGGAAGGUGAAGGACAACUUGUUCACAGCGCAG